AGUGCGCUCCUACGAGAGGCAGCAGUGAGGAAUAUUGGUCAAUGGGCUUACGCCUGAACCAGCCAAGUCGCGUGAGGGAAGACUGCCCUAUGGGUUGUAAACCUCUUUUGUCAGGGAGCAACAACAUCUACGAGUAGGUGUUACGAGAGUACCUGAAGAAAAAGCAUCGGCUAACUCCGUGCC
RNAcentral lists this ribosomal RNA (183 nucleotides) under uncultured bacterium. RNAcentral describes it as "partial 16S ribosomal RNA". It matches the Rfam family "Bacterial small subunit ribosomal RNA", at positions 330 to 509 of the family's 1533-position model. The record is from RNAcentral.